RNAcentral lists this ribosomal RNA (397 nucleotides) under uncultured bacterium. RNAcentral describes it as "bacterial SSU rRNA". It matches the Rfam family "Bacterial small subunit ribosomal RNA", at positions 505 to 898 of the family's 1533-position model. The record is from RNAcentral.
GUGUCAGCCGCCGCGGUAACACGUAGGGGGCCAGCGUUGUCCGGAAUUACUGGGCGUAAAGAGCGCGUAGGCGGUUUAGUAAGCGGAGGGUGAAAUUCCGGGGCUCAACUCCGGAGCUGCUCUCCGAACUGCUAGACUAGAGUUCGGGAGAGGGUAGUGGAAUUCCUGGUGUAGCGGUGGAAUGCGUAAAUAUCAGGAAGAACACCCGUGGCGAAGGCUGCUACCUGGAACGAUACUGACGCUGAGGCGCGAAAGCUAGGGGAGCGAACGGGAUUAGAUACCCCGGUAGUCCUAGCCGUAAACGAUGGACACUAGGUGUUGGGAGCAUCGACCCUCCCAGUGCUGUUCUGCUAACGCGUUAAGUGUCCCGCCUGGGGAGUACGGCCGCAAGGUUGAA